RNAcentral lists this ribosomal RNA (247 nucleotides) under uncultured bacterium. RNAcentral describes it as "partial 16S ribosomal RNA". It matches the Rfam family "Bacterial small subunit ribosomal RNA", at positions 108 to 353 of the family's 1533-position model. The record is from RNAcentral.
GAGUAACGCGUGGGUAACCUGCCUUAUACAGGGGGAUAACAGUUAGAAAUGACUGCUAAUACCGCAUAAGCGCACAGGAUUGCAUGAUCUGGUGUGAAAAACUCCGGUGGUAUAAGAUGGACCCGCGUCUGAUUAGCUUGUUGGUGAGGUAACGGCCCACCAAGGCGACGAUCAGUAGCCGACCUGAGAGGGUGACCGGCCACAUUGGGACUGAGACACGGCCCAGACUCCUACGGGAGGCAGCAUG